UACGAAGGGUGCAAGCGUUAAUCGGAAUUACUGGGCGUAAAGGGUGCGUAGGCGGCCUGUUAAGUCAGAUGUGAAAGCCCUGGGCUCAACCUGGGAAUGGCAUUUGAGACUGGGAGGCUGGAGUGCGGUAGAGGGUGGUGGAAUUCCCGGUGUAGCGGUGAAAUGCGUAGAGAUCGGGAGGAACAUCGAUGGCGAAGGCAGCCACCUGGACCAGCACUGACGCUGAGGCACGAAAGCGUGGGGAGCAAAC
RNAcentral lists this ribosomal RNA (250 nucleotides) under uncultured bacterium. Its description in RNAcentral is "partial 16S ribosomal RNA". It matches the Rfam family "Bacterial small subunit ribosomal RNA", at positions 524 to 773 of the family's 1533-position model. The record is from RNAcentral.